Molecule: ribosomal RNA, 500 nt
Filed under: uncultured bacterium
Lineage: Bacteria
Description: partial 16S ribosomal RNA
Rfam family: Bacterial small subunit ribosomal RNA
Source: RNAcentral
AUUGAACGCUGGCGGCAUGCCUUACACAUGCAAGUCGAACGGCAGCACGGGAGCAAUCCUGGUGGCGAGUGGCGAACGGGUGAGUAAAGUAUCGGAACGUGCCCAGUCGUGGGGGAUAACGUAGCGAAAGUUACGCUAAUACCGCAUACGAUCUAUGGAUGAAAGCGGGGGAUCGCAAGACCUCGCGCGAUUGGAGCGGCCGAUAUCAGAUUAGGUAGUUGGGGGGGUAAAGGCCCACCAAGCCGACGAUCCGUAGCUGGUCUGAGAGGACGACAGGCCAACCUGGGACUGAGACACGACCCAGACUCCUACGGGAGGCAGCAGUGGGGAAUUUUGGACAAUGGGCGAAAGCCUGAUCCAGCCAUGCCGCGUGCAGGAUGAAGGCCUUCGGGUUGUAAACUGCUUUUGUACGGAACGAAAAGGACUGCCCUAAUACGGUGGUCCCAUGACGGUACCGUAAGAAUAAGCACCGGCUAACUACGUGCCAGCCGCCGCCGUAA